GGAAUUAAGGACGGCACGUUGUCCUUGUAAUGGGGAUCCAGCAGGGUGGCCACCCAGUAAUCAGCACAAGUUAGAAUGUGGGCAACUCGGCAGUCGUUGCGCAGGCACUUUGGUGACUCUAGAUAACCUCGGGCCGAUUGCACGUCCCCGUGACGGCGACGACGCAUUCGGAUGUCUGCCCUAUCAACUUUCGAUGUUACUUUCUGUGCCUACCAUGGUGACCACGGGUAACAGGGAAUCAGGGUUCAAUUCCG
Pelobates cultripes (western spadefoot toad) is the source of this 254-nucleotide non-coding RNA. NCBI's taxonomy places the organism in Eukaryota, Metazoa, Chordata, Amphibia, Anura, Pelobatidae. The record is from the annotation of a GenBank genome assembly.